Molecule: ribosomal RNA, 159 nt
Filed under: uncultured soil bacterium
Lineage: Bacteria
Description: partial 16S ribosomal RNA
Rfam family: Bacterial small subunit ribosomal RNA
Source: RNAcentral
AGGACGAACGCUGGCGGCGUGCCUAACACAUGCAAGUCGAACGAGGUCCAUCCAGUGGCAACACUGGGGACGACCUAGUGGCGAACGGGUGAAUAACACGUGAGGAACUUGCCCCGGAGACCGGGAUAACCCUUCGAAAGGAGGGCUAAUACCGGAUGU